GUGGCGGACGGGUGAGUAACGCGUAAAGNUNUUGCCUUACAGACUGGGACAACAUUUGGAAACGAAUGCUAAUACCGGAUAUUAUGACUGAGUCGCAUGAUUUGGUUAUGAAAGCUAUAUGCGCUGUGAGAGAGCUUUGCGUCCCAUUAGUUAGUUGGUGAGGUAACGGCUCACCAAGACGAUGAUGGGUAGCCGGCCUGAGAGGGUGAACGGCCACAAGGGGACUGAGACACGGCCCUUACUCCUACGGGAGGCAGCAGUGGGGAAUAUUGGACAAUGGANCCAAAAGUCUGAUCCAGCAAUUCUGUGGGCACGAUGAAGUUUUUCGGAAUGUAAAGUGCUUUCAGUUGGGGAAGAAGUCAGUGACGGUACCCAACAGAAAGAAGCGACGGCUAAAUACGUGCCAGCAGCCCGCGGUAAUAACGUAUGUCGCAAGCGUUAUCCCGGAUUUAUUGGGCGUAAAGCGCGUCUAGGCGGUUUAGUAAGUCUGAUGUGAAAAUGCGGGGCUCAACCCCGUAUUGCGUUGGAAACUGCUAAACUAGAGUACUGGAGAGGUAGGCGGAACUACAAGUGUAGAGGUGAAAUUCGUAGAUAUUUGUAGGAAUGCCGAUGGGGAAGCCAGCCUACUGGACAGAUACUGACGCUAAAGCGCGAAAGCGUGGGUAGCAAACAGGAUUAGAUACCCUGGUAGUCCACGCCGUAAACGAUGAUUACUAGGUGUUGGGGGUCGAACCUCAGCGCCCAAGCUAACGCGAUAAGUAAUCCGCCUGGGGAGUACGUACGCAAGUAUGAAACUCAAAGGAAUUGACGGGGACCCGCACAAGCGGUGGAGCAUGUGGUUUAAUUCGACGCAACGCGAGGAACCUUACCAGCGUUUNGACAUCCCAAGAAGUUAACAGAGAUGUUUUCGUGCCUCUUCGGAGGAACUUGGUGACAGGUGGUGCAUGCCUGUCGUCAGCUCGUGUCGUGAGAUGUUGGGUUAAGUUCCCGCAACGAGCGCAACCCCCUUUCGUAUGUUACCAUCAUUAAGUUGGGGACUCAUGCGAGACUGCCUGCGAUGAGCAGGAGGAAGGUGGGGAUGACGUCAAGUCAUCAUGCCCCUUAUACGCUGGGCUACACACGUGCUACAAUGGGUAGUACAGAGAGCUGCAAACCUGCGAGGGUAAGCUAAUCUCAUAAAACUAUUCUUAGUUCGGAUUGUACUCUGCAACUCGAGUACAUGAAGUUGGAAUCGCUAGUAAUCGCAAAUCAGCUAUGUUGCGGUGAAUACGUUCUCGGGUCUUGUACACACCGCCCGUCAACACCACGAGAGUUGGUUGCACCCCUGAAAGUAAACAGGCCUAAACCGUAAGGAGGGAUGUUCCGAGGG
This 1369-nucleotide ribosomal RNA is filed under the name bacterium NLAE-zl-G149. Its description in RNAcentral is "16S ribosomal RNA". It matches the Rfam family "Bacterial small subunit ribosomal RNA", at positions 95 to 1462 of the family's 1533-position model. The record is from RNAcentral.